This 39-nucleotide ribosomal RNA is filed under the name Enterocytozoon bieneusi. RNAcentral describes it as "partial large subunit ribosomal RNA". Lineage: Eukaryota; Fungi; Microsporidia; Enterocytozoonidae. The record is from RNAcentral.
CAGUAGGGUGCCAUCAAGAGGUGUAUUUGGAAAUAUCCC